Molecule: small RNA, 581 nt
Filed under: Pan troglodytes (chimpanzee)
Lineage: Eukaryota; Metazoa; Chordata; Mammalia; Primates; Hominidae
Description: retained intron
Source: RNAcentral
GAUAGAGGACACGACCAAGAUGGCGGCGGUGUCUGGCUUGGUGCGGAGACCCCUUCGGGAGGUCUCCGGGCUGCUGAAGAGGCGCUUUCACUGGACCGCGCCGGCUGCGCUGCAGGUGACAGUUCGUGAUGCUAUAAAUCAGGGUAUGGAUGAGGAGCUGGAAAGAGAUGAGAAGGUAUUUCUGCUUGGAGAAGAAGUUGCCCAGUAUGAUGGGGCAUACAAGGUUAGUCGAGGGCUGUGGAAGAAAUAUGGAGACAAGAGGAUUAUUGAUACUCCCAUAUCAGAGAUGGGCUUUGCUGGAAUUGCUGUAGGUGCAGCUAUGGUAUGUAAUACUCUUUAUGAAACUUAUCCAAAGACAUUUCUUGUUUUCUUUUUCUUUCUUUUGAGACAGAGUCUCACUCUGUUGUCCAGCCUGGAGUGCACUGGCACCAUCUCAGCUUCCAGGUUCAAGCGAUUCUCCUGCCUCAGCCUCCAUAGUGGCUGGGAUUACAGGUCGCGCCACUGUGCCUAGCCAAUUUUUGUGUUUUUAGUAGAGAUGGGGUUUUACCAAGUUGGCCAGGCUGGUCUUGAACUCCUGACCU